CUCCUAGCGACCAAACAUCUGAAAAGCCGAACAGAAACAGAUUGCACGAAUUUAUUUAAAAAGCCUCGAUCUGGAGAUGACAAAAAAAAAAAAGGAAAGUGGAAACAUGGGUUUCUUCAAUCAGAUCAUUAUAUAAAUACAUAAGUUUUAUUGCUGAAGAUGACUUUCAUCUUCCAGUAAGUGUUAAAUUACAAUCGUGAUCAUACUGUAAUAUACCAAUCGACAAGUUUCUAUCUUUUACACGCUAUCUACAAUAAUUGGAGGGGUUUAUUGCAAUAACUCUAUUGCUCAAUAAGAUACUCUGAGCUUCAAACGUUCCAAUAUGAUGAUAUAGUAUACCCUGUUCAAAUCAAUUGGCCACUCAAGGCCACUUCCCCAGCUGUACAACGAUAUCACAAGCGAUCCAUAAGAAAACUGCACUCUACUUUGUUGUUUUCAAAAAUUAUUCAUACAAAAAGGAGCCUACUCUGAAUUUCAAAUAAUACGUACUCGUAAAUAUCAAGAAGAUUUCUUCAAACGUAUGAUUCACGAAUUCUGAACAUUUAAGUCUUUAUUAUUUUAGAGAAUCAACGUGCUAUAAAGGUUAAAUUUAAUAUUUAGUCAUAUCUAGUAUAAAUAAUAAUCAGAUAUAGUAUUUCUUUAUUUAUUUAUUCAUCUUGCCAGUUCUAGGUUUAACUCUAUCUUUAGACUUCCAGUACUUUAAGUUAAAUAUUUAUCAAGGAAAUUUCAUAUAUAGAUCAUGUAACUUUGGCGUACCAUUAGUUGAGAACCAUUGCUAUAAAGUUUAAUCAAGGAGAAUCGAUGAGAAAACAAACAAGCUCUCCAUUUAAUCGUACUUACCGACAGCAGGAGCAUCGUAACUAUCGCCGAGCAGGAUUUCCGGCGCAGAGUACGCCAGAGAGCCGCAGGAAGUCUCGAGCUUCUGACCCGGACAGAACCUAUUGCUAAAUCCAAAGUCGGUGAGCUUCACGGUGCCGAGUUUCUCGAAGAACACCACAUUCUCUGGUUUCAGGUCCCUGUGCACCACGUGCAAUCGAUGGCAAUACGAUAUGGCUCUGACUAUUUGCCGAAAGUACGUUCUGGCCACCUGCGAUCGAUCAAAAGCCUAUCAGUGAACCUUGGACAAAGAGGAAGUAAAAAAUAUAUUAAUGGCGAAUUUUUGUAAAAAGUAGAAGAGGACUCCUUGGGCUCCAUAUUAGGGUGCUCAAAAAUUUUCAAAAACAAUCAAAACUUAAGUAUCUACAUUUAUAAAAAAAUUCUUAACGACAAAUUUAUUGCAGCCUUAUAUUUAUAUGUAUACAUAUUUCAACUAUUUUUAGAUAGGGUCGAAAAUAUAUUUUCACCUAGAAAAACCACAUUGAAAGACUCCACUACUGUCUCUUAAACUUUGCUUAAACAAUCGAUUAGUUAAUUUUUCUAGUCUAUUUUUGCAACAUUGAUCGUAUCAAUGGAAGUGGAUCGAUUACCUAACUACUGAAAGAACUCUCGUAACUGCACUCUACUUAUGAAUUGAAAUACUAUGCAGAAUGCGUAAUAAUGGUUUAUUAGUCAGUGUAUGAUUCAACUUUCGAUCGUUCAAUGAAUAAUGAAGUAAUCUUUCGAACUAGUCGUAAGUGACUAAUGAUUCCGAUCGAUGUUACAAUUGAUAAUAUAGCUAAUGAUACAAUUAACGGUAAAGUGUUAAAGAGGUGUGAACGACAGUAUUAUCCAGAGGCGAAGGACAUUUCAUAAUACCUGAGAAUUUAAUAAACCAAUUAAUAUCUAUCAAUAAGAAUUCAAUAAACUUUCUGAAUGAUUUUAGAAUAAUUUUCCAGAGGAUUGUUUGUAUAUUUUUAUUAGGAAUAAUUUUAAUAGUGAAAAAAUUGUCAAAAUUUAUGAAAAAUUCCUCACUCGUAUAGAACACUGAAUGCAUUUUUUUACAAUUAAUAUUCGUUUAUGAACAUAUAUUAAAAUUUUUGUUCAAUCUUUUUGAAACGCUCUGUAUAUCAUAUAUAGAAAUACCUCU
This is a non-coding RNA of Osmia lignaria (orchard mason bee), 2005 nucleotides long. The record is from RefSeq and is a predicted model, not a curated record. Lineage: Eukaryota; Metazoa; Arthropoda; Insecta; Hymenoptera; Megachilidae.